UACGAAGGGUGCAAACGUUGCUCGGAAUUAUUGGGCGUAAAGCGCACGUAGGCGGCUUGGCAAGUCGGAUGUGAAAUCCCGGGGCUCAACCCCGGAACUGCCCUUGAAACUGCAGUGCUAGAAUCUUGGAGAGGCGAGUGGAAUUCCGAGUGUAGAGGUGAAAUUCGUAGAUAUUCGGAAGAACACCAGUGGCGAAGGUGACUCGCUGGACAAGUAUUGACGCUGAGGUGCGAAAGCGUGGGGAGCAAACAGG
Molecule: ribosomal RNA, 253 nt
Filed under: uncultured bacterium
Lineage: Bacteria
Description: partial 16S ribosomal RNA
Rfam family: Bacterial small subunit ribosomal RNA
Source: RNAcentral